CCUACGGGUGGCAGCAGUGGGGAAUAUUGGACAAUGGGCGAAAGCCUGAUCCAGCCAUGCCGCGUGUGUGAAGAAGGCCUUCGGGUUGUAAAGCACUUUCAGUGGGGAAGAAAGCCUUGGGGCUAAUACCCUCGAGGAAGGACAUCACCCACAGAAGAAGCACCGGCUAACUCCGUGCCAGCAGCCGCGGUAAUACGGAGGGUGCGAGCGUUAAUCGGAAUUACUGGGCGUAAAGCGCGCGUAGGCGGUCUGAUAAGCCGGUUGUGAAAGCCCCGGGCUCAACCUGGGAACGGCAUCCGGAACUGUCAGGCUAGAGUGCAGGAGAGGAAGGUAGAAUUCCCGGUGUAGCGGUGAAAUGCGUAGAGAUCGGGAGGAAUACCAGUGGCGAAGGCGGCCUUCUGGACUGACACUGACGCUGAGGUGCGAAAGCGUGGGUAGCAAACAGGAUUAGAUACCCCUGAGC
This 463-nucleotide ribosomal RNA is filed under the name Vreelandella stevensii. RNAcentral's name for it is "partial 16S ribosomal RNA". It matches the Rfam family "Bacterial small subunit ribosomal RNA", at positions 338 to 794 of the family's 1533-position model. The record is from RNAcentral. Lineage: Bacteria; Pseudomonadati; Pseudomonadota; Gammaproteobacteria; Oceanospirillales; Halomonadaceae.